CAAAAGAGGAAGGAGGUGACCAAGAGUACUUGUACAAACCAGCCUCCUCUUUACCAAGAUCUAGAAGCCUCUUCAGAGAAAGGUCCUGUAACAUGUAAAGAAGACAUGAGGUUGGUGUAAACAAAACUAAACAAUGCAGUUGUUUCAUCAAUUUAUGAACAGAAAUCAGAUUAUGUUUGAAAGAAGGAACCAAGAGUACAUUGUGAAGAGUAAGAGAAGGAGUCAAUGCAAAUGAUCCUGUACAAGUGACCUUUACUUUAUAACCNN
RNAcentral lists this long non-coding RNA (267 nucleotides) under Nicotiana benthamiana. RNAcentral describes it as "long non-coding RNA (NBEN_LNC028285)". Lineage: Eukaryota; Viridiplantae; Streptophyta; Magnoliopsida; Solanales; Solanaceae. The record is from RNAcentral.